GACGUAGGGUGCAAGCGUUUGUCCGGAUUAUUGGGCGUAAAGAGUUCGUAGGCGGUUGCCUAAGUCUGAUGUUAAAGCCCGGAGCUCAACUCCGGUAUGGCAUUGGAAACUGGGCAGCUUGAGUAUGGAUAGAGGUUACGGGAAUUCCUGGUGUAGCGGUGAAAUGCGUAGAGAUCCGGAAGAACACCGGUGGCGAAGGCGGCCUGCUGGGCAGUAGCUGACACUGAGGCGCGACAGCGUGGGGAGCAACAGG
This 253-nucleotide ribosomal RNA is filed under the name uncultured bacterium. RNAcentral describes it as "partial 16S ribosomal RNA". It matches the Rfam family "Bacterial small subunit ribosomal RNA", at positions 524 to 775 of the family's 1533-position model. The record is from RNAcentral.